Molecule: long non-coding RNA, 821 nt
Filed under: Populus tremula
Lineage: Eukaryota; Viridiplantae; Streptophyta; Magnoliopsida; Malpighiales; Salicaceae
Description: long non-coding RNA (PTRE_LNC002807)
Source: RNAcentral
UCAGAGGCAACAAAUUUCAAAAUAAUAGCAUUCAUUUAGGGUUUCAAAAAACCUCUCAUAUCACCUUCAUUUUUAGUUGAUUUGGAAUUAAAGCUCAGCGUGGCUAGGGUUUCUGUGAAGUGCGUUCCUUGCUAGUUUAACUGCUUACAAAUUAAAGUGUGUGUGAUAUCAGACAAAAAGAGAGGAGCCAAUGUUUUCUUUAAAUAUUUUGCAUUUUUAAAACUAGCAUUUCUCCUCUCGAUUUGCACUCAGUUUAUUGUUUAGUGGGCCAAUUGAUCCAGUUAUAAAUUCAUGAAACAGAAACUAAAUUUUUAUUCUUAUGUUUUGAAAAAAUUGCUCUUUUUUCCUUUGUUGCUUCCCUAUUCCAGGUUCUCAUGAGGUUGGUUUGUUCAAUCUUCUCACUUUGUGAGUUGGAUCUUGGUCAUUUUUCUGUCUUAAAUCUUAGUUACACACCCACACCACACACCACCCAAAGUUAAUAGCUGUCUUAUGUUUUGUGGAAAGGAGUUGAGAUCGUAAGAUAUCAUCAUUAAUUUGACACUGGUCAAGAACCUUUGUGUGUUUUUGUGUGUGUGUGAUUUUGCAACUUUGAGUAGUGUAAGAUUUCAUGGAAAUAGUGAGAUGGUGGAGAGACUACUUGAGAUCUGGAGAAUAUAUGUGGCACAGUAAUAGAAUAGCAAGAUUGUCCUAUGUGAAAAGUUGUUUCUUUAACAUUUAUAGAUCCUCUUGUGGGUCUCUUCUGUCUUUCUAGCUUAUAGUUUCAAUAUGACGAAAGCAUGAGUUUUACGGCAUACAUAAUAUUCUUUGAAGUUCCUAUCCUG